This 690-nucleotide ribosomal RNA is filed under the name Sporidiobolales sp. LM321. RNAcentral describes it as "bacterial SSU rRNA". The stretch from base 1 to 351 matches the Rfam family "Eukaryotic small subunit ribosomal RNA", at positions 1482 to 1831 of the family's 1831-position model. Lineage: Eukaryota; Fungi; Basidiomycota; Microbotryomycetes; Sporidiobolales. The record is from RNAcentral.
CUGGGGCGCACGCGCGCUACACUGACAGAGCCAGCGAGUCUACCACCUUUGCCGGAAGGCAUGGGUAAUCUUGUGAAACUCUGUCGUGAUGGGGAUAGAGCAUUGCAAUUAUUGCUCUUCAACGAGGAAUACCUAGUAAGCGUGAUUCAUCAGAUCGCGUUGAUUACGUCCCUGCCCUUUGUACACACCGCCCGUCGCUACUACCGAUUGAAUGGCUUAGUGAGGCCUCCGGAUGGCUAUUGGGAGCUCGCGAGAGCACCCGACUGCCGAGAAGUUGUACGAACUUGGUCAUUUAGAGGAAGUAAAAGUCGUAACAAGGUUUCCGUAGGUGAACCUGCGGAAGGAUCAUUAGUGAAUAUUAGGGCGUCCAACUUAACUUGGAGCCCGAACUCUCACUUUCUAACCCUGUGCAUCUGUUUCUGGUCAGUAGCUCUCUCGGGAGUGAACGCCAUUCACUUAAAAACACAAAGUCUAUGAAUGUAUAAAAUUUAUAACAAAACAAAACUUUCAACAACGGAUCUCUUGGCUCUCGCAUCGAUGAAGAACGCAGCGAAAUGCGAUAAGUAAUGUGAAUUGCAGAAUUCAGUGAAUCAUCGAAUCUUUGAACGCACCUUGCGCUCUCUGGUAUUCCGGAAAGCAUGCCUGUUUGAGUGUCAUGAAAUCUUCAACCCUCUCUUUUCUUAUUGAAUC